GAUUAUUAAAAACAAUCUUUUCCUUCUACUAUACAAUCACAUGACUAUCAAAAGUAAUGUCAGUGAGACCCUUUUCUAAACUGUAAUGUGCUGUUCAAAUGUGAAAUUAUCACCUAUUAGAACUUUAUCUUAAUGGAACAAGGUUUCUUGCCAAGUGAUAGGUUCUCUUUCACUUGAGUCACAAUGGUCAUUCACACUGGGCCUUCCACUUUAGCUGGAGGUUAGGAUGAGUGCUCUCAAGGGUCUCCUCAAACUGGGAGAUCAUCUGGUUUUAUUCACGUGAAACUUUUCAUUUUGCAGAAAAUAAUUACAGUGAGAGGUGAAUUUGCUGAAGUCAACUUGCCACUCUGACUGGGAGGUUGAAACCAUCUCUGGGAAACCCAAUGAGAGUCCCACCAUUAUUUGGCUACUUGACUGAUCUAGGAUCCAGGUGCCAGUUUAUCAUCGUAGACACACAGAGGAAGCAAAUCUCGAUUCACUCCUAUGGAGUGAGCAUCACUUUUAUCUUCAUUUUACAGCUGGGGAGUCAGAGACAGAUUUGUCUGAUCCCAUACUUUCAGGAAGGGUUUCUAACAUCUAAGAAGCAGAUCCUUAAGAAGAAAAAAAAUCACUUUUCAACACAAUUUUAUCUCAGAAAAACUCAUAUUCACCUUCCAUUUAUUGGAAUAUUAUCUUCUUAUAAAACAAAAAUAUUUGGACAUCUGAUCCUGAUUAGAUCAACAUCAAAAACCAAUCUAGGAAGAAAAUUGUUAAAGUUUAUUUCUCCCUGCUUUGUAAGAGAUGUCAUUUCUAAUAAAACUAUGGAAUAG
Molecule: long non-coding RNA, 809 nt
Filed under: Papio anubis (olive baboon)
Lineage: Eukaryota; Metazoa; Chordata; Mammalia; Primates; Cercopithecidae
Description: lncRNA (ENSPANG00000048689.1)
Source: RNAcentral